RNAcentral lists this ribosomal RNA (440 nucleotides) under uncultured bacterium. RNAcentral's name for it is "bacterial SSU rRNA". It matches the Rfam family "Bacterial small subunit ribosomal RNA", at positions 338 to 795 of the family's 1533-position model. The record is from RNAcentral.
CCUACGGGAGGCAGCAGUGGGGAAUAUUGCGCAAUGGGGGCAACCCUGACGCAGCGAUGCCGCGUGAGUGAAUAAGGCCUUCGGGUUGUAAAGCUCUUUCAGUGGGGACGAUGAUGACGGUACCCACAGAAGAAGCCCCGGCUAACUCCGUGCCAGCAGCCGCGGUAAUACGGAGGGGGCGAGCGUUGUUCGGAAUUAUUGGGCGUAAAGGGCGCGUAGGCGGUCUGUCAAGUCAGAAGUGAAAGCCCCAGGCUUAACCUGGGAACGGCUUUUGAAACUGGCAGACUUGAGUCCGGCAGAGGGUGGUAGAAUUCCCCGUGUAGAGGUGAAAUUCGUAGAUAUGGGGAGGAAGACCGGAGGCGAAGGCGGCCACCUGGACCGGUACUGACGCUGAGGCGCGAAAGCGUGGGGAGCAAACAGGAUUAGAUACCCCGGUAGUC